GGGGUUGUACUGGUUUCGACGGGGUUUUAGAAGUUAGGGAAGCCACUGGCGGGUCGGGACCGUCUUAGUAAACCGAAAUUAAAUAUAAACGCAAACGAUAAUUUUGCUUACGCUGCCUAAUGGCAGCUGUCGACCUUAAGUCACUCGCUGCUUAAGAGUUCGGCAUCGACUUUGCGAGGCACUUCGCUGUCAAAGCUUUGAGAUAGUGGAAGAAUUAUGAAGCUACUAAUCUGAUAAGCCUGUUAGUGGGCGUAUCAGUGAGGGAAUGUUAAUACACUGACUGUAGUGGGAGAUGCCUUAAUGGAAGAGAUUUCGGACAGGGGUUCGAUUCCCCUCAGCUCCAUAG
This 346-nucleotide transfer-messenger RNA is filed under the name Lachnospiraceae. RNAcentral's name for it is "RGIG1934 sp017396555 Standard tmRNA". It matches the Rfam family "transfer-messenger RNA". Rfam says of the family: Bacterial tmRNA, also known as 10Sa RNA or SsrA, is named for its dual tRNA and mRNA-like properties. Lineage: Bacteria; Bacillati; Bacillota; Clostridia; Lachnospirales. RNAcentral also lists the same sequence under 1 other name. The record is from RNAcentral.